Molecule: non-coding RNA, 282 nt
Organism: Vicia faba (fava bean)
Lineage: Eukaryota; Viridiplantae; Streptophyta; Magnoliopsida; Fabales; Fabaceae
Source: the annotation of a GenBank genome assembly
AUGGCAAGCUCUCGCAUAGCAAAGUUUUUCAUGGAGGUGGCACCGCCACAAUAUGUUAGUGUGAUGAGGCAUAGAACAUCAAAGAUGAUGGAAACAAUUACUGAAGAGGAUAGAGAAAUUAGCUCAAACGAUACUGUAAUUUCACCACUGAAAAGUUCAUCAGCUGUUUCAGCUUCAUCACUUGCUGCUUCUGCUUGUGGCUCUUCUUCCACCAAUACAACUGUUAAUACUAGGUACUUUCUAAAGGAAGUUCAUAGAACACUCUCAAGUUUGAAUCACUGA